Molecule: long non-coding RNA, 297 nt
Filed under: Populus tremula
Lineage: Eukaryota; Viridiplantae; Streptophyta; Magnoliopsida; Malpighiales; Salicaceae
Description: long non-coding RNA (PTRE_LNC003066)
Source: RNAcentral
CCUCUUAACCCUAGCCGCAACCCCCUCUCACUCUCUCCCCAGCAGCCCCCUCUCCCUAAGAAGUGUCUAUCACAGUUCCAAGUUCCAACAGCAGUGGCUCCGCCAAUCCCAGAUACCAAGAAACAAGAAUACAAAUUGCUUAGGAUGAUUGAGAGGUUGAUUAAUGUGGUGGUCUUAGCAGGAGGGGAAGCAGCAGUAAAGGACAAAACCUUGGUGGCAUAAUGGAAUCGAGAAUUCACCCAGCAAGCAUAAAGGGAUGGAAUCAGGGCAAGAACUAUAGCAAUGACGCCUAUUGUU